Molecule: ribosomal RNA, 441 nt
Filed under: uncultured bacterium
Lineage: Bacteria
Description: partial 16S ribosomal RNA
Rfam family: Bacterial small subunit ribosomal RNA
Source: RNAcentral
CCUACGGGUGGCAGCAGUGGGGGAUAUUGCACAAUGGGGGGAACCCUGAUGCAGCGACGCCGCGUGGGUGAAGGAGUGCUUCGGCAUGUAAAGCCCUAUCGGCAGGGAAGAAGCAAGACGGUACCUGACUAAGAAGCCCCGGCCAACUACGUGCCAGCAGCCGCGGUAAUACGGAGGGGGCGAGCGUUAUCCGGAUUCACUGGGGGUAAAGGGAGCGUAGACGGCCAUGCAAGCUAGGGGUGAAAUCCCGGGGUCCAACCCCGGGAGUGCCCUUGAAACUGCAUGGCUUGAGUGCGGGAGGGGCAGGCGGAAUUCGUGGUGUAGCGGUGAAAUGCGUAGAUAUCAGGAGGAACGCCGGCGGCGAAGGCGGCCUGCUGGACUGCGACUGACGUUGAGGCUCGAAAGCGUGGGGAGCGAACAGGAUUAGAUACCCGGGUAGUC